CGGGCACUAGUUCACCCGAAACACAUGUCUUUGGACUGUGGUACAAAACAAAAAGAGUAAGAAAGCUGUCCGCACGCUGGAACUCGAGUCGAGUGCUGGACGAACCUACGUCCGAGAGCGCAGCGACGUGCGUUCUCUUAUGAACGGAACCACUCGUGUCUUAUUUAUGACACUACAUACAUGUAGCCUGGCCAGUUGGGAAGGUGAGGUUCACACCCGCGUGUGAGAAGAAUCGGCCAAACAACCGAGGUACUGAGCAGCUGCACUUGGUCUCAGAAGAUGUGAACAUUUAAAUGGAAAAGAAGAGUGGGCCCAGCUGCUGGGAAGGACACAAAGUGCAGGAGAGAGAAGGCCAACAAUGAGCUUUCCCUUCACAUCCGACAAAAGAAGCGAAGAACUUGUUUGAAUUUCUGGGCACGCGCGGAGGGACGGACUCCAGGGCGACCGGCCCCCCAGAACGGGCUCGUUCCCAUCCUGAGCUCCGCUCCACUCCACUCUAUUCCACUCCACUCCACUCCGCUGUUCGGUGCUGAACACAAACGUGCCGUGACAAGUUUGCAAGUUUUUUUUUUUUUUUUUUCCUCUCUCUCUUCCCACCUUCUUUCUCCAUCUCUUCUCUUUGACUCGCUCCCUUCCUCCUCCUCUUCCUCCUCCUCCUCCUCGUCGCCUCUUCUGGUUGGAAUAUCUUCUGCACAAGUUCUCCGCGCAUUAGCGGCACUUUGGAAACGGCGGCGAGACCGUGGAUCACUGGAUAUGUGACAGGCGCCCUGAAAACACACCUUGCACUUUUUCGAAGAACUGCCGUCUUGGAUGAUUUGGGACGUGACUUAGGACGUCUGGGCUCCGGCACCUUCGCUCCGACUGUGUAAGUGUCCCUUUACCUGUGCGCUCUGCGCGCUGUUCCUUAACCACGUCCGGUAAAGAGUCCCGCGCUUCCCCGAACUGUCAGGCGUCGAGGAUUGUGCAGCAAUAACAGCGCGAAUGUUGUGCUCAGGUCUCCCAGUCCGGCGCUGUUUUGCGAGCGCAGACUCACCUGGUAACUGUGUUACGCCACCGACCCCCCAGGGUCACUGAGAGAUGCUCAGCAGGCCACGGCACCAAUUGUCACUCGGUCAUUUAAGGUGGGCGGCUGCAGUACUACCUGAAACUUACCCC
Molecule: long non-coding RNA, 1155 nt
Filed under: Scleropages formosus (Asian bonytongue)
Lineage: Eukaryota; Metazoa; Chordata; Actinopteri; Osteoglossiformes; Osteoglossidae
Description: lncRNA (ENSSFOG00015027321.1)
Source: RNAcentral